Long non-coding RNA from Cololabis saira (Pacific saury), 627 nucleotides. RefSeq lists it as uncharacterized. Lineage: Eukaryota; Metazoa; Chordata; Actinopteri; Beloniformes; Belonidae. The transcript is spliced from 3 exons. The record is from RefSeq and is a predicted model, not a curated record.
GGUUCUGACGUCCAGGAGACGGAGCUCGGGGAACCGGAGGUGAAGCGAUCCCAUCAGUCUCCGGCCGCCGCCACUGAUCUGAAUCUGCCUCCUUUCAAUCCCAGAACACCCCUGGGUCGUGAGUUCCUGGUUCCCAGAUGGGGGUUCUUCUGUAAGAUCUGCUCGGUUCCCUACCUGAAGGACGACGCGGCGGAGGACCGGCACUGCCGCAGCCAGGAGCACCAGGAGAACCUGCAGAAAUAUUAUCAGAAAUCUUCACGAACGGCAACACAGAACUCUCCGGGUUCUGCUUGUGACUGACGGACCGGACCGUUGCAUCCCCAGCGCCGUGACGGAGCGGCCUGCCGCCCCCGAGCAGCCGUCCCUCACCUCAGUGCUUCCAUUCCUCCGACAGCCGUCUGUACUUUUACACUCCAUUUGCUGCUAACUCCUUUUUUUGUGGGGGGAGGGGGGGUCUUUACCUAACUAUCAAAGUUGUACAAUCAUGUGAAAGUUAUGUUAUGAGAUGUUUUUCUUUGAAAAUGUUAUCAAAAUCGAGUCGUCUGGAGUUUCCUCUGACCUUUACGUUGGCCAGUGACUUUCCGUCUUUUAUUAAAGGAACGUCACAUGAAUUGUUUUUGUGUUUCU